CCUUCGGGAGCCGACGAGUGGCGAACGGGUGAGUAAUACAUACGGAACGUGUCCUUAAGUGGGGAAUAACGCAUCGAAAGAUGUGCUAAUACCGCAUAUCUACUGAGGAGAAAAGCAGGGGAUACGCAAGACCUUGCGCUAAAGGAGCGGCCGAUGUCUGAUUAGCUAGUUGGUGGGGUAAAGGCUUACCAAGGGCAACGAUCAGUAGUUGGUCUGAGAGGACGGCCAACCACACUGGGACUGAGACACGGGCCAGACUCCUACGGGAGGCAGCAGUGGGGAAUUUUGGACAAUGGGCGAAAGCCUGAUCCAGCCAUGCCGCGUGAGUGAAGAAGGCUUCGGGUUGUAAAGCUCUUUUAGUCGGAAAGAAAGAGUUGGAAUGAAUAAUUGUGAUUUAUGACGGUACCGACAGAAAAAGCACCGGCUAACUACGUGCCAGCAGCCGCGGUAAUACGUAGGGUGCGAGCGUUAAUCGGAAUUACUGGGCGUAAAGGGUGCGCAGGCGGUCUUGCAAGUCAGAUGUGAAAGCCCCGGGCUUAACCUGGGAAUUGCGUUUGAAACUACAAGGCUAGAGUGCAGCAGAGGGGAGUGGAAUUCCAUGUGUAGCAGUGAAAUGCGUAGAGAUGUGGAAGAACACCGAUGGGCGAAGGCAGCUCCCUGGGUUGACACUGACGCUCAUGCACGAAAGCGUGGGGAGCAAACCAGGAUUAGAUACCCUGGUAGUCCACGCCCUAAACGAUGUCAACUAGUUGUCGGAUCUAAUUAAGGAUUUGGUAACGUAGCUAACGCGUGAAGUUGACCGCCUGGGGAGUACGGUCGCAAGAUUAAAACUCAAAGGAAUUGACGGGGACCCGCACAAGCGGUGGAUUAUGUGGAUUAAUUCGUAUGCAACGCCGAAAAACCUUACCUACCCUUGUACAUGCCAGGGAAUGCA
RNAcentral lists this ribosomal RNA (934 nucleotides) under uncultured rumen bacterium. RNAcentral describes it as "bacterial SSU rRNA". It matches the Rfam family "Bacterial small subunit ribosomal RNA", at positions 77 to 999 of the family's 1533-position model. The record is from RNAcentral.